GCGCUCACUACGUCUUGUGUAUGAUUGAGUGCAGUGAUGCAGAUUUACUUUGAAGAUACGCUCUUGUAGAGCUCGUGAUUUUUUUAGCUGUUUAGUUUUUUUUUAUUAUUUGUUUAAUAAGCAAUGAAUUUCUCUUCUAGUCGUGUUGUUGUUUAUGUCUAUUCUCUAUGUAUUUAUCGAAACCGUUCGUGCAACUGAAAUGUGUCUGUGAAUGUGCGAUUUAUUUGACAGUAACGAAAAAACUAGACGCCUCUAUCCCCAACAAAGGCUACGGGUAAAUAAACCGGCGGACAAAGACGUCCGUCUGCGCGCGACAUCUGAGCGACGUGUGUCGACCCCCCUCGCCCUCCGGGCCUCUACCCCGCCGGCCCCCCGCCCGAUAAUGAUGUUAACUCGCCAGGACCUGCUUUGUCUCGAUUUUGACCGUUAAGGAUCUUGGUUAAUAAUGUUUAUUCUUCGAAAUUUGAAAUUUUUUCGUCGUUUGAAAAGUUUCACAAGAUUUUGAUUUGGAAAAUUUGCUGAACGUUUUAUAGACUUUUAAUAUUAUACUUAUUAUGCACGUCAAAUUCAUAUCCUUAAUAUGCGACAAACCAAAUAGGUAUAAGAUUGUGCAUGGAAUGUUUUUGUUUUAUUUUGGUUAUUUCUAAUAGUGGUACCUAUUAGGAAAUAAAAAUAUAAUGAUAUAAGUAAAA
This is a long non-coding RNA of Melitaea cinxia (Glanville fritillary), 692 nucleotides long. RefSeq lists it as uncharacterized. The record is from RefSeq and is a predicted model, not a curated record. The transcript is spliced from 2 exons. NCBI's taxonomy places the organism in Eukaryota, Metazoa, Arthropoda, Insecta, Lepidoptera, Nymphalidae.